RNAcentral lists this ribosomal RNA (810 nucleotides) under uncultured archaeon. Its description in RNAcentral is "bacterial SSU rRNA". It matches the Rfam family "Archaeal small subunit ribosomal RNA", at positions 1 to 792 of the family's 1478-position model. The record is from RNAcentral.
UUCCGGUUGAUCCCGCCGGACCCCACUGCUAUCGAGAUGGGACUAAGGUAUGCUAGUCGAACGACCAGAACUAUGUCUGGAAGUGGCACACUGCUCAGUAACACGUAGCUAACCUACCCUUAGGACGUGGAUACCCCCGAGAAAUUGGGGCUAAUAGGCGAUAGGUGUGAUGUCCUGGAAUGGUAUCACGCCCAAAGGUAUCCCAUACAUGUUUGGUAUACGCCUAAGGAUGGGGCUGCGGCCGAUCAGGCUGUUGGUGAGGUAAUGGCUCACCAAACCUUUGACCGGUACGGGCCAUGAGAGUGGUAGCCCGGAGAUGGACACUGAGACAAGGGUCCAGGCCCUACGGGGCGCAGCAGGCGCGAAACCUCCUCAAUGCACUAACGUGCGAAGGGGUUACCUCGAGUGCCACCUGAAGAAGGUGGCUUUUCCUUGGUCUAAAAAGCCUCGGGAAUAAGAGGGGGGCAAGACUGGUGUCAGCCGCCGCGGUAACACCAGCCCCUCGAGUGGUGGGGAUGAUUAUUUGGCCUAAAGCGUCCGUAGCCGGCCGGGUAAGUUUCCCGUUAAAUCCAACGUCUCAAGCGUUGGACUGCGGGAAAUACUGCCAGGCUAGAGAGUGGGAGAGGUCAGCGGUAUUCUGGGGGUAGGGGCGAAAUCCUUUGAUCCCCGGAGGACCACCAGUGGCGAAGGCUGCUGACUAGAACACGUCUGACGGUCAGGGACGAAAGCUGGGGUAGCGAACUGGAUUAGAUACCCGGGUAGUCCCAGCCGUAAACGAUGCAUGCUAGGUGUUGGGUUGGCCACGAGCCA